UGAACGCUGGCGGCGUGCCUAAUACAUGCAAGUCGAGCGAACAGACGAGGAGCUUGCUCCUCUGACGUUAGCGGCGGACGGGUGAGUAACACGUGGAUAACCUACCUAUAAGACUGGGAUAACUUCGGGAAACCGGAGCUAAUACCGGAUAAUAUAUUGAACCGCAUGGUUCAAUAGUGAAAGACUGUUUUGCUGUCACUUAUAGAUGGAUCCGCGCCGCAUUAGCUAGUUGGUAAGGUAACGGCUUACCAAGGCAACGAUGCGUAGCCGACCUGAGAGGGUGAUCGGCCACACUGGAACUGAGACACGGUCCAGACUCCUACGGGAGGCAGCAGUAGGGAAUCUUCCGCAAUGGGCGAAAGCCUGACGGAGCAACGCCGCGUGAGUGAUGAAGGUCUUCGGAUCGUAAAACUCUGUUAUUAGGGAAGAACAAAUGUGUAAGUAACUAUGCACGUCUUGACGGUGCCUAAUCAGAAAGCCACGGCUAACUACGUG
RNAcentral lists this ribosomal RNA (495 nucleotides) under uncultured bacterium. RNAcentral's name for it is "partial 16S ribosomal RNA". It matches the Rfam family "Bacterial small subunit ribosomal RNA", at positions 30 to 507 of the family's 1533-position model. The record is from RNAcentral.